RNAcentral lists this long non-coding RNA (3067 nucleotides) under Homo sapiens (human). RNAcentral describes it as "non-protein coding lnc-MBD2-6:1". The record is from RNAcentral. Lineage: Eukaryota; Metazoa; Chordata; Mammalia; Primates; Hominidae.
CCACCAUACCUUGGUCAUUAGCCAUUUUGUCAGGGUGUUCCACUGCGGGGGAAAAAGAAAUAACAUUAUUAGACUUUGACAGUUCCUAGCAAGAAAGCUGACAUAUCAAACCAACAGUUCUUUUUAGUAAGUUUUUAUUUCAAAGCUAGUGCCCUCUUGAAAUAAAAUUGAUAAGGACCCAAACUUAGGCUUGGGGGAUGCGUCACUGGAUAUUUUGUCCUUCUGAUUACGUAGGAUUAAGCAAUGUUACAAUCUCCAACAUCUGGAAGCCCAUUUCUCUUAAAUUUUGAACAAUGCUGAAAACUUACAUCUAUUUUGCCUGGAAUGAUUUCUAGAAAUUCUUCAUUGUCUACCCAUUCUCUUUGGAUUAAAUAUAAAUAAAUAAAAAUAAACACCAGGACCUCUAGGAUUUAUAUUCUGUUUUAUUUUAUGUACUUCAUUCCCCUUGUUGUCCCAUGAACACUGUGCUCAACUCACUUUGAGCCAAUCAUAAGUAUCUCUUUAACACAUCAUCUUUCUGACACCUGCUUGGGUAUUUUUGCACAUGAGUUUUCCAUUCUUUGGAAGUCCCUGGAAUUAGUAUGUGAUAAUUCAACUAAGCCAUAGCUCAAACCUCAUUUAUUUUGUGAAACUUCCUCUUAUUUUUCCAGACAGAAUCUGUACUUUGUUUGCUCUGAUUUUAACUUGUCCACAAUUUUAUGAUUAUAUUUCUGAUAUUACUUCAGGAAUUUAAAAAAAUGCUUUUUCUUUUUUAUUGGACCACAAUUCGCUCAAAGACAUAGACUAUAUUCUCCUUACCAAGUUCGUAUCUCAAGGCAUGACAAUUAUAAAUUAACAUUAUUAAAAACCCUUAAUUAAUAUCUUGGUCCACUAGACAAGCACUGCCCUCUGAUUUCUUUUUUUUUUUUUUUUUUUUUUUUUUUUUGAGACGGAGUCUCGCUCUGUCGCCCAGGCUGGAGUGCAGUGGCGGGAUCUCGGCUCACUGCAAGCUCCGCCUCCCGGGUUCACGCCAUUCUCCUGCCUCAGCCUCCCAAGUAGCUGGGACUACAGGCGCCCGCCACUACGCCCGGCUAAUUUUUUUGUAUUUUUAGUAGAGACGGGGUUUCACCGUUUUAGCCGGGAUGGCCUCGAUCUCCUGACCUCGUGAUCCGCCCGCCUCGGCCUCCCAAAGUGCUGGGAUUACAGGCGUGAGCCACCGCGCCCGGCCCCCUCUGAUUUCUUUGGCUCUCAUUUUUUCCUAUACUUCCAUUUCUUUAUUAAGUACAUGAAUGGAAGGUAACAUUUAAGUUUCAGAAGAUUUCAGCCAUAGGAAUUGUAUUGGGCAUUUGUUACUUGCACUGUCCAGCAUCCCAUCCUCUCCUCUUCCUUUUAAAGGAGGACUUGUUUUUUCUCUUUGGAAAACAAGCUCUCCUCUAUAUCAUGAAAGCUUGGUAGCAAUAUCAGUUGGGAAUUCCAUGGUCUUAUCCCAUCUUCUCCUUAGCUGUGUGAUCACCUGUCUCAAAAGAUGCCAAUAAUAUUCUCUCUUUUGUGACACUGAAUCUACAUACAAGGAAAUAAAAAAGGUGGAGUCAAAUAAUUACUAUGGUAGCACCUUGAAGGGAUAAACCAACAGUUCCUCACUUCUACAGCCUAGGAAUAAUAAGGCUGAUGCCUGUCUCUUUCCAAGGCCUAAUUAUUUAAAGUGUCCUUCCUGUCACGUUUAUUUUACUUCAGUUAACCAAAACCAAAUGAAGGAUUCAUUAUCUGGACAGAAUGAAAUGCUUGAUUUCAAAAAAUUUCCAGUCACUCGUAUCUUUAUCACAAGCCAUUUCAACACAUAAUGGUGUAGCCCCAUAUGGUCUUUAUCUUACUGCAGAACUAGAAGCAAACUUUAGAGUUAUUUUAUUCACUGAAUUUCCUUCUCACAGUUAUAAACCUGCAGACACUUGUGAAUUACUUCUUACUUCUCAUCAUCACUCAGGGAUCCUAUCCAUGUGCUAUUUACACCUUUGUCCAGAUUAUUACCUUUUCUACUAACCACAUUUCUAAAAGUUAGUAUCUUUUUGUUAGCAAUGGGUCUCACCACUGGUGUCCCUACAAGGCUAGGCGGUUGAUGAGAAAUCAAUAGGGUGCAUAUAUCAAGUCAGAUGUUGGUGUGCAUUUUAUGUUUAUGAGAGGAAAAAAAUGAAUGAAUUUGCUUGUAUUAAGAUGAAAAUACUACUACUUCUCUUUCACACAGGGAAGGCCAAAUUUCUUACUAUUUCACAUUUAUCUACAUUCAUCUCCUUUCAAGUAAAAAGGAAGAGUAGACUGUUUACUUGUUUACUCUAUCCAAUAGUAUGUAUCUCAUCCGGCUGGUCUUAUUAACCCUAAGAAGCUGUGAACAUUGUGCAUUCAGGGUGGAAUUCUGAGAAGAAGAGAUAAUAACAGGUAAAAUAGAAAAAUAGGAUGUUAAAAUUAAAUUAGGUCAACUAGAAAUCUUCUUGUUGAAAGAAGUAUCCACAGAUAUGUAAAAAUAUUCUCACUAGAACUCUAAUAGUUAAAAUAAUAGUUGGAGUUAAAAAUUAGAACUGCAAUCCCAUGGGACAAAUUCUAAUGGAAAGAUAAAUUCAACUUACCCAGGAAACAGCUUUAUUAGCAUUUUUUUAAAAUUUGAAAAUUGGUGCAGUUUACCCACAAAUAUGAUAUAUUAUGAAACCCAUCAAAAAAACAUGUUAAGCCCUGGAUUCUUCAGAAGUUGGAUUUCUGUGAACUAUAAAUGUCAAGUACACUGCAUCCUUGUUAAAGUUAUAAACUCUACAUUUACGAUCCAUAGUAAAUGUGACCAGUAAAAAUUACAGUGAAUUGCAUUACCCUAGAUUUGAACUAUUUAAAAUUGCAUAAAGGUCUUCUAUUAUGUUACCCCAUUUCCCAGGAGUGAACAAAACCACCUGGAAACUCCUUCCCAUAUCCAGCCAAGGUUAUUCACAGUAAAUAUCCAUGAGACUUCGGUUGUAAUGCAAUGCUUUCUUUUGCAUCUAUUUUUCUUUUUUUCAAAAUGAGAAAUACCUACCAUGACAAUUGUUCAAAGACACAACUGUUUUGGACC